This is a long non-coding RNA of Balaenoptera ricei (Rice's whale), 434 nucleotides long. RefSeq lists it as uncharacterized. The record is from RefSeq and is a predicted model, not a curated record. The transcript is spliced from 3 exons. NCBI's taxonomy places the organism in Eukaryota, Metazoa, Chordata, Mammalia, Artiodactyla, Balaenopteridae.
UGCCACAAUCGUCAUCUCUCCCCUCUCCUCUGGCGCUCUCUCUCCAGCCGAAGUCAGUCACAAGCAGAAGCUCCACGGACAUCACUGAAGGAAGCCUUUCUCUCUUAUUUCUGAAGUGAUGAAACAAAACCUAACCACCUUGGGCUCCAUGCACCAUUUCCUUCAGGGCAUCGCUCAGGAAGAUCCCACAUGCCGCAGAGCAACGAAGCCUGCGCACCACAACCACUGAGCCUGUGCUCUAGAGCCUGCGAGCCACAACUACUGAGCCCGCGCACCUAGACCCCGUGCUCCGCAACAAGAGAAGCCACCGUGAUGAGAAGCCCGUGCACCACAAUGAAGAGUAGCCCCUGCUUGCCACAACUAGAGAAAGCCUGUGCACAGAAACUAAGACCCAACGCAGCCAAAAAUAAAAAAUUAAAUCUUUAAAAAAAAAU